Molecule: ribosomal RNA, 598 nt
Filed under: uncultured fungus
Lineage: Eukaryota; Fungi
Description: eukaryotic LSU rRNA
Rfam family: 5.8S ribosomal RNA (bases 182-336)
Source: RNAcentral
GUUGCUGGCCCUCUAAUGGGGGCAUGUGCACACUCUGUUUACACAUCCACUCACACCUGUGCACUCUCUGUAGUACUGCGGUCUGGGGGUUCUGUCCUCUUACUGUGGUUCUGCGUAUUUACACACACACACCGUAAUAAAGUCUCAUGGAAUGUAUGCCGCGUUUAACGCAAUGAAAUACAACUUUCAGCAACGGAUCUCUUGGCUCUCGCAUCGAUGAAGAACGCAGCGAAAUGCGAUAAGUAAUGUGAAUUGCAGAAUUCAGUGAAUCAUCGAAUCUUUGAACGCACCUUGCGCCCUUUGGCUAUUCCGAAGGGCAUGCCUGUUUGAGCAUCAUGAACACCUCAACUCUCAUGGCUUGCCAUGAUGAGCUUGGACUUGGGGGUUUUGCUGGCCUGCGGUCAGCUCCCCUCAAAUGAAUCAGCUUUCCAGUGUUUGGUGGCACCACAGGUGUGAUAAACAUCUACGCGUGUGGUUCUCCAUCAUGGUAACCUUCAGUGAUGGAGGUUCGCUGGAGCUCAUAAAUGUCUUUCCUCAGCGAAGACAGUUCUUUGAUUGUUUGAUCUCAAAUCAGGUAGGACUACCCGCUGAACUUAAG